Molecule: Y RNA, 101 nt
Filed under: Cercocebus atys (sooty mangabey)
Lineage: Eukaryota; Metazoa; Chordata; Mammalia; Primates; Cercopithecidae
Description: Y RNA (ENSCATG00000019354.1)
Rfam family: Y RNA
About the family: Y RNAs are components of the Ro ribonucleoprotein particle (Ro RNP), in association with Ro60 and La proteins.
Source: Rfam by way of RNAcentral
GGCUGGGCCGAGUGCAGUGGUGUUUACAACUGGUUUGUAACUGGUUACAACAAUUUCUUUGUUCCUUCUCCAUUCCCAUUGCUUCACUUGACUAGCCUACG